CCCUUAGAUGUUCUGGGCCGCACGCGCGCUACACUGAUGCAUUCAACGAGUCUAAAACCUGCUCUGAUAGGGGUGGGUAAUCUUUUGAAUGUGCAUCGUGAUUGGGAUAGAUGAUUGCAAUUUUUCAUCUUCAACGAGGAAUGCCUAGUAAACGCAAGUCAUCAGCUUGCAUUGAUUACGUCCCUGCCCUUUGUACACACCGCCCGUCGCUCCUACCGAUUGAAUGAUCCGAUGAAUAUCAUGGAUUGAGGAUGCAAGCAGGUUCGCCUGUCUUCAUCUUCGAGAAGUGAAGUAAAUCUUAUCAUUUAGAGGAAGGAGAAGUCGUAACA
This 329-nucleotide ribosomal RNA is filed under the name uncultured eukaryote. Its description in RNAcentral is "partial 18S ribosomal RNA". It matches the Rfam family "Eukaryotic small subunit ribosomal RNA", at positions 1470 to 1796 of the family's 1831-position model. The record is from RNAcentral.